This 72-nucleotide transfer RNA is filed under the name Podarcis lilfordi (Lilford's wall lizard). It matches the Rfam family "tRNA". Rfam says of the family: Transfer RNA (tRNA) molecules are approximately 80 nucleotides in length. Their secondary structure includes four short double-helical elements and three loops (D, anti-codon, and T loops). Lineage: Eukaryota; Metazoa; Chordata; Lepidosauria; Squamata; Lacertidae. The record is from Rfam by way of RNAcentral.
GUUCUUAGCUCAGUUGGUUAGAGCGUGGUGCUGAUAACGCCAAGGUUGCAGGUUUGAUCCCCUUAAGGGACA